GAUGAACGCUGGCGGCGUGCCUAAUACAUGCAAGUCGAGCGAAUGGAUUGAGAGCUUGCUCUUAUGAAGUUAGCGGCGGACGGGUGAGUAACACGUGAGUAACCUGCCCAUAAGACUGGGAUAACUCCGGGAAACCGGGGCUACUACCGGAUAACAUUUUGAACAGCAUGGUUCGAAAUCGAAAGGCGGCUUCGGCUGUAACUUAUGGAUGGACCAGCGUCGCAUUAGCUAGGUGGCGACGUAACGGCUCACCAAGGCAACGAUGCGUAGCCGAACUAAGAGGGUGAUCGGCCACACUGGGACUGAGACACGGCCCAGACUCCUACGGGAGGCAGCAGUAGGGAAUCUUCCGCAAUGGACGAAAGUCUGACGGAGCAACGCCGCGUGAGUGAUGAAGGCUUUCGGGUCGUAGAACUCUGUUGUUAGGGAAGAACAAGUGCUAGUUGAAUAAGCUGGCACCUUGACGGUACCUAACCAGAAAGCCACGGCUAACUACGUGCCAGCCGCCGCCGUAA
This 515-nucleotide ribosomal RNA is filed under the name uncultured bacterium. RNAcentral describes it as "partial 16S ribosomal RNA". It matches the Rfam family "Bacterial small subunit ribosomal RNA", at positions 28 to 523 of the family's 1533-position model. The record is from RNAcentral.